GGUUGGAGCAGUUGAUAAAGCCAUAACCUGUUCAUCUCUGUGGCAUGGGGCUUCAUCCAAGAGUUCAGUUUCACCCUCUAUCAACUCUUCAUUGAAGGAGGGGAUCAAGACUUAUAGCACCGCAGAUGGUUUUCCUGGAGAUAUCAUUAAAAAGAAAGACUUGACCAGGGUAGAGAGUACUGAUAAUAUUCCAUCUUUGUGUGCUUCUGCUAGCUCCGGUGAACCAAUAAUUGAGGACAUUUGUACAACCAGCACUGCUAAUUCAUCAUCUUCAACCAUUGUUUCCACUUCCUGUACUGCUACACCAAAGAGAUCUAGGGCAUCAUAUCCAAGUACAGUCUCCACAAUUCCAGGUAGAAGGAUGCAGCUUUGAUCUCAAGUCAGCUAAAGAUUACCAGCGCAGCAUAGAAUCUGUGAAAAGCAUUCCAAAAGCCCUAAGGUCAUUGUUUCUGCCAAUUUGCCAACAGUGCAGCAGGCAGGUUCUCUCAUGAAUCUUGAUUUUUGGGGAAUUCUUAGUAAUCAUUUUUUCUCUUCGGGAUUAAGCUUUGUUGCUUCCGCUUUAACUUUCCGAUAUUAUCUAGUUUCUACUACUAAGUAAGACUGCUGCUGCAUUUAUGCUGCAAAGUUUGUUUAGGUUCCAUGGAUUGUCGAAGUUUGAUGACAAGAAGUGAAGCUGCCGUAGCUAUCACAAUGCAAGGCGACACGGGCCACAACCUGAGACAAUCUGGUUCAAUUAAGCAAGGCUGUCAUCAUCAUUUUACAGUGUUUGCUUCAAUUUCAAAGAUGGUAGACAGCAGAUGAAUGCUGUAUUGAAUAGGUUGCCUUUCCUGGAAGCAAAUUCAACCUGGCAAAGCAAUUGCAGCUUUAAGUUUACUCACUCUGGAGAUUUCUUUUAUUAGGCCUGCAAAAGCAGGGGGGAUCCGUAGGCCGCUUAGCUGUCCCUCCAAUGAAGUGCCAGAUGCAACUUCAACAAUACAGACUCAAGUAGAUUUCUAUCUUUUGAGAGCAGCACACCAGGGCCUUUAGUCAAGGUGGGAAAAGCCCGACUGAAGAGCAUCCAAACCCUCCAGAUAAGAAUCCUCUUCUAAGCAUAAUCAGCAUCAGCAACAAUACCAUCAGAGAAAUCAAAAUCAUACGGGUCCGGAGCAUCAUUACCAAUUAAUUAGCUGCAAUUGCAGUAUCAUGGGGUUGGGUUAAUACGCAGCAACAAGAAACAGUACCACCUCCUAGAAAUCUGCUUCAGCGAAUAAGGGUUGAGGAGGCAUGGAGUUGGGAGAACUUCUAAAACUUGCAAAGAAGCAACAUGCUAUUCGCAAAUUAUAUUGGUGGAACUCGUUGCAUGAAGCUGAAUCGCGCUGGUCAGCCAUACUUGAAUUUGAGGUUGCUUUCAUUUGUUCAUUGAUGUGUCAUGGGAUUGGUGAAAUGUUGGUUCUUCAUUAAUUUUUCCAAAUUUUUUUAUCUCAAAGACAACGGCAACCUGUUUUUUAUCCAAAUUUAGAUUGGACUUCAAGAACUU
Long non-coding RNA from Populus euphratica (Euphrates poplar), 1516 nucleotides. RefSeq lists it as uncharacterized. NCBI's taxonomy places the organism in Eukaryota, Viridiplantae, Streptophyta, Magnoliopsida, Malpighiales, Salicaceae. The record is from RefSeq and is a predicted model, not a curated record. The transcript has 4 exons.